GCCAGGCGUGGUGGCGGGCGCCUGUAGUCCCAGCUACUCGGGAGGCUGAGAUGGGAGAAUUGCUUGAACCCAGGAGGUGGAGGUUGCAGUGAGCCGAGAUCACACCACUGCACUCCAGCCUGGGUGAUAGAGCGAGACUCCGUCUCAA
This 148-nucleotide non-coding RNA is filed under the name Gorilla gorilla gorilla (western lowland gorilla). Lineage: Eukaryota; Metazoa; Chordata; Mammalia; Primates; Hominidae. The record is from Rfam by way of RNAcentral.